Long non-coding RNA from Bufo gargarizans (Asiatic toad), 414 nucleotides. RefSeq lists it as uncharacterized. Lineage: Eukaryota; Metazoa; Chordata; Amphibia; Anura; Bufonidae. The transcript is spliced from 3 exons. The record is from RefSeq and is a predicted model, not a curated record.
CAAGGACCCGGACAGGAAACGAGCCUGAGACACCCGGGAGACCUGAAGCGAGCAGCAACAGGAAAAGACACCAGAAGGGAGAGGACACCGGAAAAGAAGAAGGCAUUCCUAGAACCAUGGAGAGGAUUGUGAAGAGUUGAAUGGAGGUCAACCAAGACAUCUGUGCACAGGUCUUCUGUGAUAUCUCUCAGGAGAUGUUACUCAGAACUUCUUCAAGAAUGAAGUGAGGUAGAACCUGAGAUGGCAGAGGCACAAAGAAAUUUCACGUCUGUUGAGUUACGGGCCGUCAUGAAGUUUUUGUUUCUCCAGGGAAAGGACAUUCAUAGUGAGGACACUUCUCCCCUAGUGUUUGUGACAUCUCAGUGUGAAUCUCCUUUGCAGUCAUUCCCGAAUAAAAUCCUGAUUCAUUUUAAU